Molecule: RNA transcript, 3601 nt
Organism: Telopea speciosissima
Lineage: Eukaryota; Viridiplantae; Streptophyta; Magnoliopsida; Proteales; Proteaceae
Gene name: cyclin-dependent kinase G-2
Exons: 8
Source: RefSeq, a predicted model, not a curated record
CUUUAUAAAACACAUAAACACUCCCUGGUUGCCGACUUCGCAUAUCUAUUGACGAUUUGGGGUUUUCCUGGAAGGAGCGGUGCCGGCGUUCUCUUUAUUUUUCUUUCGAUCGUCGGUAAGCCUUUUAUCAUCUCUGGUUUCUGGUUUUGACUGUUAUUCCGUAUCGAGGAGGAAAGUUGAGAAGAUUUAUUGAGUUUUAUAUUCUGGUAAUAUUUUUGGAUUAGCAGUUCGAUUGAUCGGUGUUCGCUUUCUCGAUCUGCUAUAUCUCUGCUGAUUCCAGUCGCAAAGUGUAUAUUUUCGUGUUAUGUUACCGGUAGAGAAGAUUUCCGAAUGAUUCUUUAUUGUUAUUAGAUUUGAUGCGUGUGUUUCGAUUUGCUAGGGUUUGGUUUCGAUAUUUUUGAAACUAGGGUUUUCCGAGAAACGAGUUCACGCUCGGGUGGGACGGGUACUCUAUAGGUUUCCUGUUAGGGUUUUGUUGUUGGUUAUCUAGGGUUUUAAUUUUGUGGAACUAGAGGUUCAAUUCGAUUAUUUCUCUAUAUCCCUUUAUCACUGAUUUGAGGGACGAAAGAGCUUUAGAGUGUAUGGCGGCAGGAAGACAUGGUGGCUACCGUGAUAACGAAUUCAGAGACCGUGAAUCUGAUCUCGAGGCUUCAAGGAGGAGAGAUUUUUAUCACGCGAAGGAAGAUUAUGAUCGCGGUCACAUCGGUGAACAUGACCGCGGAAGAAGUCGCAAUCGGGAGUUUGAACGUGGAAAGGAGCGAGAUGGCAGGGAUAGGACAAGAGUUAGACAGAAGGAUAUUAAAGAGAGAGAAGUAGUAAAUGGCGGUUACCAUUCUUCAUCAAGCACUAGCAACUCAGGUAGCAGUGGAAGUGGUUACGGACGAGGUAGUUUUCCUGUUAGAAUGGCAGACCGUGAACCUGGUGAGCUGUCAAGUGGGAGUGGAUCUGAUGGUGCUGUUGCUUCUGAAUCGCAGGUUAAGGAUGUAGAGGUUUCGAAGAAUGAAAAUGGUUUUAGGUCUCUUCAAGGAAAAAAGAGAAAAUUCUCCCCUAUUGUGUGGGACAGAGAAGAGAAAGAGCUGAGCAAUUCUUCUAAAAAUAGAAUUGCUCUGACGAGUACUGUUUCUCCACUGCAGCCAAAAUCUUCCCGCCAGUCGCCAAACAUUGUUCCUGAAGGGGCUGUGCAAAUUUCUCCCAUCAAUCAUAGUGACGUUCAGAGCUCACAGUCUUCACCCUUCAAGCCUUCAGUAGUGACUGGGUCAGUGGGGUCUGCUGCAUCUGAAUCACCAGCAGGAUUAUCUUUUGCCCCACAUGAGCAGCAGUGGAGCAAUGAUAGGGAACCGGGGCAGCUGGAGGAGGAAGACUUUGUUCCAACACGGAACAUUUCAUCAUCCCGAUGGGCAGAUGAAGGCAAUUCUCCUGCGGAUGAAGGAGAAAUAUCUGAUGACAAAGACAUGCAUAAGAAGAAGAAAAAGAUGCCUAUGUCUGAUAUGUUGGACACCAGGUUAAAUCCAAAAACAUCAAGCCCUGAGCUUGGGGAACUCCCUAGAGAAGGUUCUGAAGGAGCUCGUGCUAAAUCAUCUGACUCUAAUGAUGGAGUACAUCAUGUUUCCUCUGCAGAUGAACAUGGAGAAAACGAAGUGGAUAAUAAUGACUAUAUGGACAUUGAUGGGGAAAAUGACCGCAAAAAUGUUAGUGAUAACCAGUCGGAUACAGAUUCUGGUUCGGAAGAUGAUCCCCGUAAAACACCAGAGCCUCCAAUUCUGCAACAAAGAAAUAUAAACAUGCUUCAGGGGUGUAGAAGUGUUGACGAAUUCGAGAGACUCAACAAGAUAGAUGAAGGUACUUAUGGUGUUGUAUAUAGAGCCAAGGAUAAGAAGACAUCAGAAAUUGUAGCAUUGAAGAAGGUGAAGAUGGAGAAGGAAAGGGAAGGUUUCCCACUGACUUCUUUGAGGGAAAUAAACAUUCUUCUGUCCUUCCACCAUCCAUCAAUUGUGGAUGUUAAGGAAGUUGUUGUAGGUAGUAAUCUUGACAGUAUUUUUAUGGUAAUGGAGUACAUGGAACAUGAUCUUAAAGGGUUGAUGGAAACAAUGAAGCAGCCUUUUAGCCAAAGUGAAGUUAAAUGCUUGAUGCUACAGCUGUUGGAGGGUGUCAAGUAUCUUCAUGACAACUGGGUUCUUCAUAGGGAUUUGAAGACAUCAAAUCUUCUUUUGAAUAACCGGGGUGAGUUGAAGAUAUGUGAUUUUGGGUUGGCUCGUCAAUAUGGGAGCCCAUUGAAGCCCUAUACCCAUUUGGUGGUUACUCUAUGGUACAGGGCACCUGAACUUCUAUUAGGAGCUAAACUAUAUUCGACUGCUGUUGACAUGUGGUCAUUGGGUUGUAUAAUGGCCGAACUUUUAGCCAAAGAGCCAUUAUUCCCUGGGAAAGCUGAGGUUGACCAGCUUGACAAGAUUUUCAAGAUGCUUGGCACGCCAAAUGAGGCAAUUUGGCCUGGGUUUUCAAAAUUGCCUGGAGUCAAGGUCAACUUUGUUAAGCACCGGUAUAAUAUGCUCCGUAAGAAAUUUCCGGCCACAUCUUUCACUGGUUCUCCAAUUCUAUCAGAUGCUGGAUUUGAUUUGUUGAAUAAACUUCUAACUUAUGAUCCUGAGAAGCGAAUAACAGCAGAAGCGGCGCUUAACCAUGAAUGGUUCCAUGAGGUUCCCCUUCCCAAAUCCAAAGAUUUUAUGCCAACAUUUCCCGCCCAACAUGCUCAAGACAGGCGUCUACGACGAAUUAUGAAAAGCCCAGAUCCAUUGGAGGAACAGAGGAGAAAGGAAUUGCAGCAAGGGGAAUUAGGAACUGGAGGUUUGUUUAGCUAGGGAAAAGGACAUUGAACAGUGACAUUUGAGCUACAAACUUCUAGUUUUCUCAGCAUUGACCUAUGAUGGACGUGGUUUAGGUGAGAAUUAUGUACUGAGUGUGCAGUUGCGAAAUCUCUCUGUGAGACGACCAUUGAUGAUGUUCUUUAGCAGGCCCCUGAUGAUUUGGGUGGAGAAAAAUAUUCUCUUCUCUCCCACCAACCAAGUUGUGAUGCAGGAUAUUUUCUAUCACUUCAAGCAUUGGUGAUCAUAAAAAAAAGUGCAUCCUUCCUUUACCCUGCUUUCAUCGCAAGAGACGAUUGGUGUGAAGCGGAGGGAGCGUGUUAUUUGCUUUUUCAUUGCAGAAGAAACUGACGGGAAAAUUCCACUCCAAAGCUUAAGUUGUGGCUUCCUCAAAAAAGUAUGAAGCUUUUGAUGGUUACUAACCUGAGUAAUAUGCACAUAGUGAUCAACUCUUUGAAGCUCUUGAAUGAACACCAGUAACAUUUUGCUGCAAAGAUGUGUUCUUGUGGUCAGUAUCCAACCACUGCCCCUCCUAUGUCAGGAGAAGGUCAUUUAUUUUGUUAGCAAUCUUUUUGUCUUAAUAUUAAGGAUCGAUGCUGUUCGUGCGUGUCCUUAUGAAUGGCCCCUCGACUCUUAGUAUGACUUUUGUGGGCUUCCUUGCACCUAGUCUGUCAAUUAGAUUGGUUUUUAGAGCUUGGAAAAACUGGUUCUUGAUAAAAUGGUUGGGAACUACAUUUUUGCAA